Molecule: ribosomal RNA, 293 nt
Filed under: uncultured microorganism
Description: partial 16S ribosomal RNA
Rfam family: Bacterial small subunit ribosomal RNA
Source: RNAcentral
GUGCCAGCAGCCGCGGUAAUACGUAGGUGGCAAGCGUUGUCCGGAAUUAUUGGGCGUAAAGCGCGCGCAGGGCGGUCUUUUAAGUCUGAUGUGAAAGCCCACGGCUCAACCGUGGAAGGUCAUUGGAAACUGGGAGACUUGAGUACAGAAGAGGAAAGCGGAAUUCCACGUGUAGCGGUGAAAUGCGUAGAGAUGUGGAGGAACACCAGUGGCGAAGGCGGCUUUCUGGUCUGUAACUGACGCUGAGGCGCGAAAGCGUGGGGAGCAAACAGGAUUAGAUACCCUGGUAGUCC